UAACAAGGUUUCCGUAGGUGAACCUGCGGAAGGAUCAUUACAGAGUUCAUGCCCGAAAGGG
This 61-nucleotide ribosomal RNA is filed under the name Botrytis cinerea. RNAcentral's name for it is "partial 18S ribosomal RNA". The stretch from base 1 to 40 matches the Rfam family "Eukaryotic small subunit ribosomal RNA", at positions 1792 to 1831 of the family's 1831-position model. The record is from RNAcentral. Lineage: Eukaryota; Fungi; Ascomycota; Leotiomycetes; Helotiales; Sclerotiniaceae.